CUGUUCUCCAUUUUAUUAUUGUGACUGAGAUGUUGAAAGCUAUAUUUAAAGCUGUGCUGCACAAGUUGGGUCCUGAGACGCAUGCUGAGGCAAACUUCCUCAUUUCUCUGCCGAGAACUGGUUCUAUUUUUUAGUCCUGUCCCUUGCACUCAACAAGGAACUUGGAGAACUGGAGGAAGCAGGGCUGAAUGAGUGGCAUGAUUAUUGCAUAAAUAAUGCUGGAGGUGUGCAAGAAAUCCAGUCCAGAGGGAGCAAGAGGCACUGCCACUGCUGCAAAUGUCUGAGCACACUAACUGAAUAGUAAUAGGGCAGCCCUGCACCAGCCAAGGAGCUAGAAUGGGAGACUUUCCAUGAAAGGGAAAUAGUUAACUCAGAACUGUAAUUGACAAAUGGUGUCUGGAACUGAAGAAGGCUAUAGAAAUUUAUACUGUGCCAUCCAGUGAGUCGGAGAUUUUGGAUUUCUCUGAUUCUGAGCUGGCAUUCUUUGCUGUUCAGUUGUAUGGUAGUGCUGUGGUAAUUUUACUAAAUGGGUGUCAGUGUUUUAUCUGUUUACCUCCUCUUUAAAUUUUAUUUGGCUGG
Molecule: long non-coding RNA, 579 nt
Organism: Gavialis gangeticus (Gharial)
Lineage: Eukaryota; Metazoa; Chordata; Crocodylia; Gavialidae
Exons: 3
Source: RefSeq, a predicted model, not a curated record